This 730-nucleotide unclassified non-coding RNA is filed under the name Cladostephus sp. kuetzingii. Its description in RNAcentral is "sequence contains 18S rRNA gene, ITS1, 5.8S rRNA gene, ITS2". The stretch from base 291 to 445 matches the Rfam family "5.8S ribosomal RNA". Lineage: Eukaryota; Phaeophyceae; Sphacelariales; Cladostephaceae. The record is from RNAcentral.
GUAAGGGUCUAUCUUUGCUGGACGGGCCUAGCCCGCCGCACGUAUAGCCCCGAGCGCGGAGCGGGCCGGCACAACCAACCCCGCGAAGCUGUCUUUAUUAUUGCUCACAAUUAUACGAAGCCGGGCGAGUCUGCGUCUCGCCGAGAGCGGUUCUUCCUUUUGGGCGGGCCUCUCUCGAACCAAAGCGCACCCCACUUUUCAAACCCCAAGCGUAAACUCUGAAUCUGAACCUUAAAGGUGGCCGCCCGCCCCACGAAGGCGGGCCCUCCUCCAACCAUUAAACGUUGUAAAACUUUCAGCGACGGAUGUCUUGGCUCCCCCAACGAUGAAGAACGCAGCGAAAUGCGAUACGUCUUGCGACUUGCAGAAUCCAGUGAAUCAUCAAAACUUUGAACGCACCUUGCGCUUCCGGGAUAUUCCUGGGAGCAUGCUUGUCGGAGUGUCUGUUAACUCCACUCGCCCCCCCCCCGUNUUCUUNUUNUUNUUNUUCGAAGAGGGAGAAGGGGGAGGGGGGGGGGCGGACUAUGCGUGUUCCGGAGCCUCUCACCGAGAAGCUCCGAGUGCACCGAAGAACCUGGAACUCGCAAAGAGAAGAAGCCUCUCACUCUUUUCGCUCGACGAGCCGAACUAAGGGAGAGAGUUGUUGACGGUUGUUACGACUCGCUCCUCCGGCGCGACAGAGCUUUAGCUUGUGUGCAGGUCUCUUCUCCUCGCAAAAACCACGGCCGAU